UACGGAGGAUGCAAGCGUUAUCCGGAAUGAUUGGGCGUAAAGCGUCCGCAGGUGGCAUUUUAAGUCUGAGGUCAAAGCUCGAGGCUCAACCUCGAACAGGCCGUGGAAACUGAAAAGCUAGAGUGUGGUAGAGGCAAAGGGAAUUCCCAGUGUAGCGGUGAAAUGCGUAGAGAUUGGGAAGAACACCAGUGGCGAAAGCGCUCUUCUGGGCCAAGACUGACACUGAGGGACGAAAGCUAGGGGAGCGAAUGGG
Molecule: ribosomal RNA, 253 nt
Filed under: uncultured bacterium
Lineage: Bacteria
Description: partial 16S ribosomal RNA
Rfam family: Bacterial small subunit ribosomal RNA
Source: RNAcentral